Molecule: non-coding RNA, 498 nt
Organism: Oryza sativa Japonica Group (Japanese rice)
Lineage: Eukaryota; Viridiplantae; Streptophyta; Magnoliopsida; Poales; Poaceae
Source: RefSeq, a predicted model, not a curated record
GAAAUCUCUCCGAAUUGCUUCCGUUGUGGUAUGCCUGAAAAUGAUUUUCAUCUUUUCUUCGGCUGCCCUUUUAGCAAGAUCACUUGGAUGAUUUCUGACAUUAAUCUCCGCACUGAUAUUUUCUCUGAUAAUGUUUCUAUGGCUCACAUAAUUGCUUACAUUUCCAAUAACUGUUCUAACAAAGCCACUUUAAAUAGAAUCUUCACAAUCAUGUGGCAGAUUUGGAAGGCUAGAAAUGAUCUCAAGUUUUAGGGAUGAUGAUAUGGAGCAAUCUUCAUCGGAGAGAGGAAUGGAAAAGUUGCUGGAAGGAAAUAGAUGUUAUAUAGAUGCUUCUUGGGAUGAUAACAAAAUAGGCAUUGGAAUCUUCUUCCAUUUGCCUAACACUCACAAUGCUCUUUUUAUCAAAGCUUAUAGUCAUUUGGCAGAAUCCCCUUUGCAAUCUGAACUGCUAGCCUUGCAGCUAGCCAUGGAAAUUGCCUUGAUUCUGAACUUUGCAGA